RNAcentral lists this ribosomal RNA (252 nucleotides) under uncultured bacterium. RNAcentral's name for it is "partial 16S ribosomal RNA". It matches the Rfam family "Bacterial small subunit ribosomal RNA", at positions 524 to 776 of the family's 1533-position model. The record is from RNAcentral.
UACGUAGGGUGCAAGCGUUGUCCGGAUUUAUUGGGCGUAAAGAGCUCGUAGGCGGCAUCGUUAGUCGGAAGUUAAAAUGCAAGGCUUAACCUUGCAGUGCUUCCGAUACUGCGGAGCUUGAGUAUGGCAGGGGAGAUCGGAAUUCCACGUGUAGCGGUGAAAUGCGCAGAUAUGUGGAAGAACACCAAUGGCGAAGGCAGAUCUCUGGGCCAUUACUGACGCUGAGGAGCGAAAGCGUGGGGAGCGAACAGG